UUUGUAUUUUAUAGUAUAUCAAUAAUUUUGAUAUAUUUAUAUUAUUUAAAUUUUCAUGAUUCGUUAAUUAUAGUUAAGUAAACUAAUGGCAAUAAUAUAAUACAUAUAUGUAUAAGAAUAUAUGUUAUUUAAGUUUAGUAUCUUGUAUAUUUAUGUGUUGUAUAUGGUAAAAGUGAAAUCAUAUUUACAAUUACGAUAACUGUACAUUAUUGAAAGUAAUAGGUGGCCAAAUCUGGGCCAAGAGAAAGUUUAGUAAGAAAACUUACUUUGGUAUAUAUAAUCAAAAAAGUAUAUAAAUACCAAUCACUUAUGAAAGUUACAACUUAUACUUUAUAAGAUCAUUCUAUCUUAACCUCCAUUUUACAAAGAACUUUACAAUGCAAAUAUUUUGUGUAAGUUACAAGAAAUACAUCCUUGUAUACUUACUUCUAAAUACAAUAUGUAUUAUUACUUGUAAUAAAUCAACAUCAACUAAUCUUUUAUCAAAGUUAGAAUAUAUGAAUAAAUUAAAAAGACCUGUAUAUACAUUUGUUAAAACUGACAAAGAGGCGAAUAUUAAGUGGGGUGUGCGCCAUUACGUUCCCAGAAUGAGUGAAAUAAAAGUUGACUGAACAAUGUAAUUUAAGAGCGCAACAACAGACAUUCUUAACUGAAAAAAAUCAUUAUGAGCUAUUUGAUGCAUUUAUAUAUUGUUGAUAUCGUGUUAAACUCUAUAUUUUAUUUCUGAUUUUAUGGAUUAAAACUAUAUAUUUCUUGAUUUAUAAAAUAUCAAAGCGUUAGAUGGACUCUAUAGCCCGUCCAAUGAAUCGAAUCACUAGAAAAUGUGUCUACUUGCAGAAAAUGUUUAAAAUAUGGUUCACGUGAUUGAGAGUGCUUUCUACUGAAACGUUGUACACGUGCUCACGCUCACGUAUCACUUUGCUCGACGUACGAAAUGUUAGGAUGAGUGGGAGAGUUAUUUGCUGAGAAAAGUAAAUAUCGGACCGGACGUCUCGUCUUAAGAAAAUCGAUCAAUGACCAUCCUCGUCUAUAUGUAUAUAUAUAUAUA
Vespa mandarinia (Asian giant hornet) is the source of this 1048-nucleotide long non-coding RNA. NCBI's taxonomy places the organism in Eukaryota, Metazoa, Arthropoda, Insecta, Hymenoptera, Vespidae. The record is from RefSeq and is a predicted model, not a curated record.